Small RNA from Synechococcus sp. CC9311, 65 nucleotides. It matches the Rfam family "Cyano-1 RNA". Lineage: Bacteria; Bacillati; Cyanobacteriota; Cyanophyceae; Synechococcales; Synechococcaceae. The record is from Rfam.
UCACUUGUGAGGAGGGCUUCUUCGCGGAGUGGAAACUAGGCAACACGCCCAACGAGAAGCCGAGA